GUAAUGGAUGGGUUCUGCAAAGCAGGUAACGUAGAUGAGGCAAACAUAAUAUUGGCGGAGAUGGAGGAGAAGGGAUGCAGACCUGAUAAAUUGACAUUUACAAUUCUCAUCAUUGGGCAUUGUAUGAAGGGGAGAAUGAUGAAAGCAAUGAGAAUUUACUAUAAGAUGCUGUCGGUUGGUUGUGCUCCUGACAGCAUCACAGUCAAUUCUUUUGUCUCUUGCCUUUUAAAGGCUGGGAUGGCUAAUGAAGCCUUUCACAUAAGGCAAACUGCCUUGGAGGGCCUGAAUUUGGGUCUAUCCUCUUUAAAUAGGGCUGUUCCUGCUACAAUGAAUGCAGACAUUCUUGUGGCUGUUUGAUGGAAGGUUGCCAUGUGCUGGGCUUCAAUUUUUUGCGGCUCGACUGAUUGAGUGAUGUCCUUCCACCGUCAUACAUCCUCGCAGUUGCAUAGCUUCUUGCACGAAUCAGUUAUGAAGCUGCUGGGAGGUAGUUCAAUCUGUCCUGGGGCAUGGAAAGUGGUUUGAUGUUGUGAAGAGCUUAUGCACAUCCAGUACAGCAACAUCAGGACUCGGGAGGUAAUACCUGGCAUCACAGCUCAAUUAUGCAGAGAGCUGGAGACAGUUGUUUCGUGUAUAGUAGAGAGAUUUUGAUAGCUAUCUAGAUGUCCCCAUGGAUCAGAAGUCCAAAAUGGAGACUUCUAGCAUCCAAGUCGAAAGUCUCUGGCUUAUGCAUCACUAAAGAGUGAGAUGAUCAGUAAUGAACAAUGCCCUCAGGAAAAAUGAAACGCAGCUGCUAUUGCAAGGCCUUAAUGGUCAUUAGCUUUCUAGAUCCUUUAAUCCUCUGCUCAUUUUAAAUGUAAAUAUCCGCUGUUUUUUAUCAUGCAAAAUAAUUUGUCGGCCUCCCAUUAAUAUGCAAAGGAGGAGAAAUUUUAGCAAGGUCUAGCGAAGGGAUCGAUUUUUGGGUUAUGUUUCAUCGUAAGCUAGAAGGGAAAGGAUCCAACAAUUUAUAUUCUUUUUUUGACCACAUUUAAUCUCACUCUAGGAAGUUAUUAAAUUAUCAAAGGUUUGGUACAAUUCUUUUUCCUUGGGUAAAAGAAUGAGGCAUAUUUCACCA
Molecule: long non-coding RNA, 1111 nt
Organism: Eucalyptus grandis
Lineage: Eukaryota; Viridiplantae; Streptophyta; Magnoliopsida; Myrtales; Myrtaceae
Exons: 2
Source: RefSeq, a predicted model, not a curated record